This 253-nucleotide ribosomal RNA is filed under the name uncultured bacterium. Its description in RNAcentral is "partial 16S ribosomal RNA". It matches the Rfam family "Bacterial small subunit ribosomal RNA", at positions 524 to 776 of the family's 1533-position model. The record is from RNAcentral.
UACGGAGGGGGCUAGCGUUGUUCGGAAUUACUGGGCGUAAAGCGCACGUAGGCGGCUUUGUAAGUUAGAGGUGAAAGCCCGGAGCUCAACUCCGGAACUGCCUUUUAGACUGCAUCGCUUGAAUCCAGGAGAGGUGAGUGGAAUUCCGAGUGUAGAGGUGAAAUUCGUAGAUAUUCGGAAGAACACCAGUGGCGAAGGCGGCUCACUGGACUGGUAUUGACGCUGAGGUGCGAAAGCGUGGGGAGCAAACAGG